AAAAGUCGUAACAAGGUAACCGUAGGUGAACCUGCGGUUGGAUCAUUAAAUUGAAAAAGAGAGAGAAGAAAUUCUCUUGAUUUUUAAACAUUUAGAGAUAAUUGAAUGUUUUUUUUGUGGAGAAGAAGAGAGAUUCUUUUUUUUCCACAAAUUUAAAUAAACCAUUUUAAUAUUUAUAUUAUUAUAAAAUAAAAUAAAAACAACUUUUGACAACGGAUCUCUUGGCUCUCG
This 231-nucleotide unclassified non-coding RNA is filed under the name fungal sp. Its description in RNAcentral is "partial internal transcribed spacer region". The stretch from base 1 to 48 matches the Rfam family "Eukaryotic small subunit ribosomal RNA", at positions 1784 to 1831 of the family's 1831-position model. Lineage: Eukaryota; Fungi. The record is from RNAcentral.